This 468-nucleotide ribosomal RNA is filed under the name uncultured bacterium. RNAcentral's name for it is "partial 16S ribosomal RNA". It matches the Rfam family "Bacterial small subunit ribosomal RNA", at positions 28 to 507 of the family's 1533-position model. The record is from RNAcentral.
GACGAACGCUGGCGGCGUGCUUAACACAUGCAAGUCGAACGGAAAGGCCCUGCUUUUGUGGGGUGCUCGAGUGGCGAACGGGUGAGUAACACGUGAGUAACCUGCCCUUGACUUUGGGAUAACUUCAGGAAACUGGGGCUAAUACCGGAUAGGAGCUCCUGCUGCAUGGUGGGGGUUGGAAAGUUUCGGCGGUUGGGGAUGGACUCGCGGCUUAUCAGCUUGUUGGUGGGGUAGUGGCUUACCAAGGCUUUGACGGGUAGCCGGCCUGAGAGGGUGACCGGCCACAGUGGGACUGAGAUACGGCCCAGACUCAUACGGGAGGCAGCAGUGGGGAAUAUUGCACAAUGGGCGGAAGCGUGAUGCAGCAACGCCGCGUGCGGGAUGACGGCCUUCGGGUUGUAAACCGCUUUCGCCUGUGACGAAGCGUGAGUGACGGUAAUGGGUAAAGAAGCACCGGCUAACUACGUG